AAGUGGUUGUGUCUGUGAUACCCACUCAAAGCAGGGGGAACAAUGUCGUCAUCCACCACAGUGAGCUCUGUUCACUGAGACCACACCGUUGGCUAACAGGAGAGGUCAUUGAGUGCCUCCUACAUCACACCGCCUAUCGUCUUAAAUUGGAAAGUACAAUAUAUGUGAUGAACCAUUUUACGGCUGGUGUGAUCCUCUUCGGGGACAGAGAAACCAUGAGGAGGCAGAGUUUGUCAAAGGUCAACUUUGACAACUACAAAGGCCUGGUUUCCUGUGUAAACAUUCAAAAUACGCACUGGAAACUUCUGUACAUCAAUGUAGCACAGAGUAGUGUGUACCUUAUCGAUCCGAUGCGCAACAACAAGGAUCUGGAGACAUCCAAAGAAGCUGCAGAAAAAUUCUGU
This is a long non-coding RNA of Pungitius pungitius (ninespine stickleback), 404 nucleotides long. RefSeq lists it as uncharacterized. The transcript is spliced from 4 exons. The record is from RefSeq and is a predicted model, not a curated record. Lineage: Eukaryota; Metazoa; Chordata; Actinopteri; Perciformes; Gasterosteidae.